Molecule: ribosomal RNA, 174 nt
Filed under: uncultured bacterium
Lineage: Bacteria
Description: partial 16S ribosomal RNA
Rfam family: Bacterial small subunit ribosomal RNA
Source: RNAcentral
UACUCCUACGGGAGGCAGCAGUGGGGAAUUUUCCGCAAUGGACGAAAGUCUGACGGAGCGACGCUGCGUGAAGGAUGACGGCCUGCGGGUUGUAAACUUCUUUUCUCGAAGAAGAAUAAAUGACGGUAUUCGAGGAAUAAGCAUCGGCUAACUCUGUGCCAGCAGCCGCGGUAA